Molecule: ribosomal RNA, 380 nt
Filed under: uncultured eukaryote
Lineage: Eukaryota
Description: SSU rRNA
Rfam family: Eukaryotic small subunit ribosomal RNA
Source: RNAcentral
AGCUCCAAUAGCGUAUAUUAAAGUUGUUGCGGUUAAAAGCUCGUAGUUGGAUUUCUACCGAAGACAGCCGGUCCGCACUUAGUGCGCGCAUCUGGUCUGACUUUGGUAUCCUCUUGGGGAACAUUUCUGCCUUUCAUUAGGUGGGGUGGUAUUCAAGACUUUUACUUUGAGGAAAUUAGAGUGUUCACGGCAGGCGACCGCCUUGAAUAUAUUAGCAUGGAAUAAUAAUAUAGGACUUCGGUUCUAUUUUGUUGGUUUCUAGGACUGAAGUAAUGAUUAAUAGGGACACUUGGGGGCAUUCGUAUUAUCACGUCAGAGGUGGAAUUCUUGGAUUGUGUUACGACGAACGACUGCGAAAGCAUUUGCCAAGGAUGUUUUCA